Molecule: ribosomal RNA, 156 nt
Filed under: Hygrocybe cantharellus
Lineage: Eukaryota; Fungi; Basidiomycota; Agaricomycetes; Agaricales; Hygrophoraceae
Also listed under: 3 other names
Description: 5.8S ribosomal RNA
Rfam family: 5.8S ribosomal RNA
About the family: 5.8S ribosomal RNA (5.8S rRNA) is a component of the large subunit of the eukaryotic ribosome. It is transcribed by RNA polymerase I as part of the 45S precursor that also contains 18S and 28S rRNA.
Source: RNAcentral
CAACUUUCAACAAUGGAUCUCUUGGCUCUCGCAUCGAUGAAGAACGCAGCGAAAUGCGAUACGUAAUGUGAAUUGCAGAAUUCCGUGAAUCAUCGAAUCUUUGAACGCACCUUGCGCCCCUUGGUAUUCCGAGGGGCAUGCCUGUUUGAGUGUCAU